AAAGAGGCAUUAUUUUCAUUCGAGGACGUGCCUUCCUCUUUGCCCCCUGCUGUCACUCACAUUUUGCAGGAGUUCGCUGACGUCUUCCCACAAGACGUGCCACCGGGAUUACCACCUAUUCGAGGGAUUGAGCAUCAAAUUGACUUAAUUCCCGGUGCAUCGCUACCCAACCGUGCACCAUACCGUACCAAUCCAAAGGAGACGAAGGAGAUUAUGCGUCAAGUACAGGAGCUGCUCGACAAAGGUUAUAUACGCGAAUCUCUUAGUCCUUGUGUUGUUCCUAUUAUACUCGUGCCUAAAAAGGAUGGUACGUCGCGUAUGUGUGUUGAUUGUAGAGGCAUUAAUAAUAUUACUAUUCGUUAUCGUCAUCCUAUUCCUAGGCUCGAUGAUAUGCUUGAUGAAUUGAGUGGCUCUACAAUAUUCUCCAAAGUUGAUUUGCGUAGUGGAUACCAUCAAAUUCGUAUGAAAUUGGGAGAUGAAUGGAAAACUGCAUUUAAAACUAAGUUUGGUUUAUAUGAGUGGUUAGUCAUGCCUUUUGGGUUAACUAAUGCACCUAGUACUUUCAUGAGACUAAUGAACGAAGUUUUACGUGCUUUCAUUGGACGAUUUGUGGUGGUCUAUUUUGAUGAUAUACUGAUUUAUAGCAAAUCUUUGGAAGAACAUUUGGAACAUUUACGUGCUGUUUUUAUUGCUCUACGUGAUGCACGUUUGUUUGGUAACCUUGGGAAGUGCACCUUUUGCACCGACCGAGUAUCUUUUCUUGGCUAUAUUGUUACUCCACAGGGAAUUGAAGUUGAUAAAGCCAAGAUUGAAGCUAUUGAGAGUUGGCCGCAGCCCAAAACGGUCACACAAGUGCGGAGUUUUCUUGGACUCGCUGGUUUCUAUAGGCGUUUUGUGAGAGAUUUUAGCACCAUUGCUGCACCUCUCAACGAGCUUACAAAGAAGGAUGUGCCUUUUGUUUGGGGUACCGCACAGGAAGCAGCCUUCACGGUAUUGAAAGAUAAGUUGACACAUGCUCCUUUACUCCAACUUCCUGAUUUUAAUAAGACUUUUGAGCUUGAAUGUGAUGCUAGUGGCAUUGGAUUAGGAGGUGUGUUAUUACAAGAUGGCAAACCUGUUGCAUACUUUUCUGAAAAAUUGAGUGGGCCUAGUCUGAAUUAUUCUACUUAUGAUAAAGAACUAUAUGCUCUUGUUCGGACUUUAGAAACAUGGCAACAUUAUUUAUGGCCCAAAGAAUUUGUUAUACAUUCUGAUCAUGAAUCUUUGAAACAUAUUAAAAGUCAAGCUAAACUGAAUCGUAGACAUGCUAAAUGGGUUGAAUUCAUUGAAACUUUCCCUUAUGUCAUUAAACACAAGAAGGGUAAAGAAAAUGUUAUUGCUGAUGCAUUGUCUCGUCGCUAUACUAUGCUUUCACAACUUGACUUCAAAAUAUUUGGUUUGGAGACCAUCAAAGAUCAAUAUGUGCAUGAUCCUGAUUUUAAAGAUGUAUUGCAGAAUUGUAAAGAAGGAAGAACCUGGAACAAGUUUGUCGUUAAUGAUGGAUUUGUGUUCCGUGCUAACAAGCUAUGCAUUCCAGCUAGCUCUCUUCGUCUUUUGUUGUUGCAGGAGGCGCAUGGAGGAGGAUUAAUGGGACACUUUGGCGUGAAGAAGACGGAGGACGUACUUGCUACACAUUUCUUUUGGCCAAAGAUGCGACGGGAUGUUGAGCGUUUUGUUGCUCGCUGCAAUACAUGUCAAAAAGCUAAGUCACGACUCAAUCCUCAUGGUUUAUAUAUGCCUUUGCCUGUACCUAGUGUUCCUUGGGAGGAUAUAUCUAUGGACUUUGUUUUAGGUUUACCUCGAACAAAGAAGGGGAGGGAUAGCAUAUUUGUUGUCGUGGAUAGAUUCUCGAAAAUGGCACACUUUAUACCAUGUCAUAAAAGCGAUGAUGCUGUUAAUGUUGCUGAUUUGUUCUUUCGUGAAAUUAUUCGCUUGCAUGGUGUGCCAAAUACUAUUGUUUCAGAUCGUGAUACUAAAUUUCUUAGCCACUUUUGGAGAUGUUUAUGGGCUAAGUUGGGGACUAAACUGCUUUUUAGUACUACUUGUCACCCCCAAACUGAUGGACAAACUGAAGUAGUCAAUAGAACAUUGUCUACUAUGCUUAGGGCUGUUUUGAAGAAUAAUAAGAAAAUGUGGGAAGAAUGCUUGCCUCAUAUUGAGUUUGCUUAUAAUCGUUCAUUGCAUUCUACUACUAAGAUGUGCCCUUUUGAAAUUGUGUAUGGUUUCCUACCUCGUGCACCUAUUGAUUUGUUGCCUCUUCCAUCUUCGGAGAAGGUUAAUUUUGAUGCUAAACAACGUGCUGAAUUGAUCUUAAAAAUGCAUGAGUUAACUAAGGAAAACAUUGAGCGUAUGAAUACUAAAUAUAAACUUGCUGGAGAUAAGGGUAGAAAACAUGUUGUGUUUGCACCUGGAGAUCUUGUUUGGUUACAUUUGCGUAAGGAUAGAUUUCCUGAUUUGCGCAAAUCAAAGCUAAUGCCACGUGCUGAUGGUCCUUUUAAGGUGUUAGAGAAAAUAAAUGAUAAUGCAUAUAAACUUGAGCUGCCUGCAGAUUUUGGGGUUAGUCCCACUUUUAACAUUGCAGAUUUGAAGCCUUAUUUGGGUGAGGAAGAU
Molecule: ribosomal RNA, 2649 nt
Filed under: Triticum aestivum (bread wheat)
Lineage: Eukaryota; Viridiplantae; Streptophyta; Magnoliopsida; Poales; Poaceae
Description: partial small subunit ribosomal RNA
Source: RNAcentral